UCCCUCUUAGCUCAGUUGGUAGAGCGUGUCACUAGUACAUGUCUGACGCCCCAUUAUGAUGACGAGGUCAGUCGUUCAAGUCAGCUAGAGGGAA
RNAcentral lists this transfer RNA (94 nucleotides) under Armillaria solidipes. It matches the Rfam family "tRNA". Rfam says of the family: Transfer RNA (tRNA) molecules are approximately 80 nucleotides in length. The record is from Rfam by way of RNAcentral. Lineage: Eukaryota; Fungi; Basidiomycota; Agaricomycetes; Agaricales; Physalacriaceae.